GUAGAUGACAGUAGAUGACACUAGAUGACACUAGAUGACAGUAGAUGACAGUAGAUGACAGUAGAUGACAGUAGAUGACACUAGAUGACGGUAGAUGACACUAGAUGACGGUAGAUGACACUAGAUGACGGUAGAUGACAGUAGAUGACGGUAGAUGACGGUAGAUGACGGUAGAUGACAGUAGAUGACACUAGAUGACGAUAGAUGAUACUAGAUGACGGUAGAUGACCUAGAUGACACUAGAUGACACUAGGUGACGGUAGAUGACACUAGAUGACGGUAGAUGACACUAGAUGACACUAGAUGACGGUAGAUGACGGUAGAUGACGGUAGAUGACGGUAGAUGACACUAGAUGACGGUAGAUGACACUAGAUGACGGUAGAUGACACUAGAUGACGGUAGAUGACACUAGAUGACAGUAGAUGACAGUAGAUGACACUAGAUGACGGUAGAUGACACGUAGAUGACAGUAGAUGACGGUAGAUGACACUAGAUGACGGUAGAUGACAGGAGAUGACACUAGAUGACAGUAGAUGACGGUAGAUGACACUAGAUGACGGUAGAUGACACUAGAUGACGGUAGAUGACACUAGAUGACGGUAGAUGACACUAGCUGACGGUAGAUGACACUAGAUGACACUAGAUGACGGUAGAUGACACUAGAUGACACUAGAUGACGUUAGAUGACACUAGAUGACGGUAGAUGACACUAGAUGACACUAGAUGACACUAGAUGACAGUAGAUGACACUAGGUGACACUAGAUGACACUAGAUGACACUAGAUGACAGUAGAUGACGGUAGAUGACACUAGAUGACGGUAGAUGACAGUAGAUGACAGUAGAUGACGGUAGAUGACGGUAGAUGACGGUAGAUGACAGUAGAUGACACUAGAUGACGGUAGAUAACCCUAGAUGACACUAGAUGACGGUAGAUGACACUAGAUGACGGUAGAUGACACUAGAUGACGGUAGAUGACACUAGAUGACACUAGAUGACGGUAGAUGACACUAGAUGACACUAGAUGACGGUAGAUGACAGUAGAUGACGGUAGAUGACAGUAGAUGACAGUAGAUGACGAUAGAUGACAGUAGAUGACUGUAGAUGACACUAGAUGACACUAGAUGACGGUAGAUGACACUAGAUGACGGUAGAUGACGGUAGAUGACACUAGAUGACGGUAGAUGACACUAGAUGACACUAGAUGACGGUAGAUGACACUAGAUGACGGUAGAUGACCUAGAUGAACAGUGGAUAACGGUGUACACGUGAAUAUAGAGCGAGUGUGUCUCAUAUUCGCGUAUAUAGGACAUGGAUUUAUUACCCAGAAUAGGAAGGUAUAGCUUCUACUUCCUAUUCUGUGACCGAGUGAACCCUCUUUAUAUCUUUACUCUUUGGUUGCACCGCCCGUGUUUUAUAGCGCCCUGAUAUUACCAAAGUUCUUGGCAUUUUUGCUGUUUUGCAUUGCUAUAUUUUCC
Non-coding RNA from Paramuricea clavata, 1478 nucleotides. The record is from the annotation of a GenBank genome assembly. NCBI's taxonomy places the organism in Eukaryota, Metazoa, Cnidaria, Anthozoa, Malacalcyonacea, Plexauridae.